AGGUGUGAUGGCUGUAGCUGU
This 21-nucleotide non-coding RNA is filed under the name Arabidopsis thaliana (thale cress). Lineage: Eukaryota; Viridiplantae; Streptophyta; Magnoliopsida; Brassicales; Brassicaceae. The record is from RNAcentral.